RNAcentral lists this long non-coding RNA (478 nucleotides) under Populus trichocarpa (black cottonwood). Its description in RNAcentral is "long non-coding RNA (PTRI_LNC002946)". The record is from RNAcentral. Lineage: Eukaryota; Viridiplantae; Streptophyta; Magnoliopsida; Malpighiales; Salicaceae.
UUUACACUUUAGGUGGAUGCUUAAUCUGACAUAUUAAAGUGAAAAACCAAGAUUUACACUUUAGGUAAACAGCCGCCUUGAUUAAACCAGCUUUGUCGGAAGGACUACCGGAGAGGCUGCUAAGAAUCUCUCCAAGAAGCAUCCUGUUAUGGCUGCUACCAAGGUUUCAGGUCACCAACUGGACCUGCAGUCCAGUUCAAGAUCUUCUCACCUGGCCUAAGGUAAACACUUCUAUCAUGAGGUAAUUUUCGUGCAAGUCCAUUCAAUACUUGAUGGAAAGCAUCUCCUGGUUGGGCAGGUUGUGGGAAUAGCAUAGCCUGCUUCAUUGAAGGGUUAGCGAGCAGUCUCUGCUUCCUCAAUAUUACUUCAGGUGGAAUGGAAGUGAGUAUGGUGUCCAAAUUUGGAACAUCUUCCUCAUCUACAUAUACCCCAAUUUCUUCCCAUGGGAUUGCAUCAGCAAAGGGUAAAACAAUGUCAU